This is a non-coding RNA of Microcebus murinus (gray mouse lemur), 3210 nucleotides long. Lineage: Eukaryota; Metazoa; Chordata; Mammalia; Primates; Cheirogaleidae. The record is from RefSeq and is a predicted model, not a curated record.
AAGACGCUUCCAUAAUAUGUUACAGUGAGAUAUUAUGUAUUAUGCAAUACAUUAGUAAUGUAUUUUGUGUGGCAGUAUUUUGCUAUCAGAGGUGGUCUGCCACUUUGUUGUCGAAGCAAUACUCUUACAUUCUCACAAACUGUUCUCUAAUCCCGUGCCCUUUAAUUUAAAUCUCCCCCAUCUACUUUUCUAUUGAUUUGUUUCAUUUUCCCUGAUUUCUUUUCAGUUCCUAUGUCUCUUUCUUAUGUGACUGCCAAGUUAUUAGUUUCUUGUUCUCAGACCCAUGCGUCCCAACAGCCAGUGCGGGCCAAGGAGUAAUGAUGAUGGAUCGAGACCCGCUGACACUGCAGCUGCCAGGGAGACCGGGAGGCCCCACGGCAACCGCCGCGCAUGCGCAGUGUCGGGCGGGAGCGGCGAGCCACCGGCCCUCUCUCUGUUCCCAAAUCCCUCACAGUGUACUUAAAGCCGAUUAAGUCUGGAAAUAACUUGAAUUAUUCAUUAUGUGCUAAUGUAUGGCACUGAUAACACAUUUUUAUAAGUUCGCAAACAUUAAAACCAUUUCACAUACCUUGGGCGUGUGAGAAAGGUGGAGAUGAGGCACACCUCAGAGACAUUGUGGGUUCAGUUCCAGAUGACUGCAAAACAGUGAAUAUAGCCAGAAAGCACUAACUUCUGUGCCCCUGCACUUCUCUGCUUUCGCUGUUUAUGGGAAGCUCCGGAGGGUGGAAAGAGCUCUAGAAUUAGAGUCAGAAGAUUCUGUUGUGAGUACUUACUUCAUGAUUUAGUCUCUAAAUAAUGAUUAUGACAAAUGCAUACAUGUUUAGUGCUCUGUGGUGUAUUAUAUGUAAAAUAGAGAGAAAUGUGAAGUGUUAUCCUUCCACCAGAAGAAUUAUAGCAAUUUCUAUCCCCAUCACCAAAUAUUUGCUACAGCUUAUUAGAUACAUUUUCUUCAUGUGGUAUUUUAUUUGCUUUAUUUUCUUAUAAGAAGAGGUUGGCAGAGAAAGCAACAAUUGAGGGAACAGGCUAACUUGUUCUUUUUCACCUCAAGAGCACAUGGAUCCCUUCUCUACUUAAAAUUGGAAGGAGGAAAAAGUAUAGUAACAGGGCUCAGUAUUUCUUUAAACUAGAGAAGUGAACUCUCUUAAUGUUAUCUCAGGAUAGUUGAUUGGGUGGUUAGUGAAGAUUAAGAUACUAAUUUUUUAAAUAGCAGCAUGUAGUACCCUAUACAGGUAGAAUAUAAAUUUAGAUAUUGAAUUUUAGUAGGCAAAAAAUCUCACAGGAAUAAUAGUCAGAAGGAACAAACCUCCCAUUGGCACAAUGGCCUUCUUGAAACCUUGUGUGUCACAGUGGAGCUGUUGGUGGUUCUGGGCAGAAACUGCGGUCAGUGACAGACAAACAGGUGUUUGGGUGGGGCCGUGAUGGAUGGUUGUACAGACUGGCCUCUGCCCACCAGUAUCCCACCUGAAGGGAUACUUCACACAGUGCACUUCACAGAUUUGUUAUUGGUUAUUUAUUAUGGACAAAUUUCUGGCAUGAAGUAGACAUGCAUCUUGAUCUAACAAAAUCAGGAUUUCACAACAAUUCUCUGACAGAUGGAUAUAAACUGGAAUAAGGGUGCCUUUUUCCAAUUCUUCACACAGGGCCAUAUGGGCUAGCGGUGGCAUGAGUUUACACUGAUAUGAUAAUUUACAAAUCCAAGAGAAUAGGAAUGGUAGAGAUAAUAUGUAGGAGUCCUACAGGAUAGAAAGAUGGAGGCGAUGUUAGAGGACAGGAGCAGAAAUUUGAAUGCCUGCAGGGCUCAGGAAUGAGAAGGGGCGGGCUGGGUUGUGGGCUUUAAAUGUGGACUUGCUUUGUUGACAUUGCAUCUGUAGAAGUUGUCAUCAUUUUCAUGGAGAAAUAAAACCUGUCUGCAGGGGUAGGUGCUGCUUGUCUGUUUUUUGCCCUAUGGAGACACAGUCUCAAAGUUGCUAGAUCUUCCACUUUUUUAAGGGACAUUAACAAUUUGGAUUUUUAUGUGAAACCUUUGAAUUUUGGAUAAGUGGCUUCUUUUAUUUAAUGUAACAUGUUAGCCAAAGAAAGCACAUCUCUGGGUUAAUACUGCCUGGGCACGACCAGGAUUUUUAACCUCAAUUAAAGAAAAGACUUCAGAGCUCCUAGGUAGAGGAAUAGGGCCACAUGGGUCACAAGACUGGCAUGUUGUAGGAGAUCAGUCAGUGCUCAAAUGUCUGAACAUUUCCCACUAAACAUAUCUAAGUUAAAUUUUUAACUUAAUUUGUUGGCAGUGCUUUCUCAGAAAACAUGGAGGAAACUGCAAUGAGACUGCACAUUUUAGACGGAGUUGCAGCAUCAGAAACAGUAACCCCAUCAUUACAGAAAUCUCAGUCAGCAUGAAAGGCAAUGCCAUGGUAAUCAGAUACACACCAUGGCUUUUAGGAAGACUGACCUCUGAGUUUAGAAAAAUGGCAGGCUACUGAUACCAUGAAGGAAUUUGAUUUAGGAUUCUGGAAGAAGGAAUUCUGACUGUUUGCCAAAUGUGAUGAUAUUAGGAAAGAAAAAUGGGUGAUAUCUAGCAAAAUCAAUUUAGGUGCUGUCCACUGAGUCCACAUUUUGAAAGGGGAAGUACAGAUGCUGAAGAAAAUGGCAACUAACAAAGGGCAAGUAUGAAUAAGAGAUAGGAAGCUAUAAAUAUUUUCAUAGCACUAAAGCAAGGAAUAAGCUGUGACUGAUUUUGUUAUAGCAUUAAUGAAUAAGUGAAUGGAUGGAUGGAUGGAUGGAUGAAUGAAAUAAUGAAGUAAGUAUAUUUUAUGAUCCUUAACAUUUUUCUGAGACCUGAAAGGAAAGUUAGGCCCACGGCUUAGGAUUGAUGGUGUAAUAUGAAUGGACAGUUAAGAAAAACAAUACUAUUCAACUGUUUAUUUUGGUUUCAGUUAUCACUAAACCAAGAAUAAAUAAUUAAAUUGAAGACAGUAAUGCAAUCAUUUCAGAGGUAAUGAAAACUCAAUAAAUGUAAGGAGAUAGUAAAGGGAUAUCUAGAUGCUUGAAAUGUUAGCUGGUACUUAACUGUGCACUUACAGUUUGCCAGGAAUAGAUUAAGUGCUUUACAAGUAUCAUCCCCUUCAUUUUUCUCAAUAAACCUAUGAUAUAAUUACAGUUAUUAAUUCCACUUUAUGUUUAAAGAAACGGAAGUUGGAGAUUUAAGAUUUAAGGAGU